GCAAAAACACAUUUCAAUGACCACAGACAAAAUGAGUUCAUCCUCAUGUGUCUAGACAUGUAAGAACUGUUGGUAUAUUGUAUGUGCAUACAACCUCCUGAUGAACAGUACCAGAUCUGCAGGCAGCCCUCACUGCUCUCAUAUAUGGAAAACAAAAUACUUGGCGCUGGUCCACAGACAACACUGAGGCCCAUUAUCUUCUGCAGGCUCGCUAAGGCAGCUUUAAACGGGACGUUCAUGCAGGCCUCUCAGGCUGACCGGCUAUUACGGCAGGUACCCAGAUGCUCCACAUGUCCUCCCCAUCUUGCCAUCGCUUUCAUCAUCUCGUGCACUUCAAAUCCCCAAAACCAGCUCAUCCACCUUACGCUCUCUCCUCGGUUCUACCUCUCCACCUUCAACUCCAUCCUCCUCCCAGUUUCACCCUCCCUCCUGCUUUUUCCUCUAUGCAUACAAAAGCCACAUGGAGGGUCUGCUUCUAAUCCCUACAUGCUGGGGUCUCCGUUUGUUUUGCUUGUUCGGGGACCCCACAAUGCAUUUUCCAAUGCCCAGGACCCACUGAGUGCAGAUUUAAUUAGAUGAAGCCAACGGUGGAUGAAGCUGGAGAAUUGAAAUUGGACAUGGGGGUUUUACAAGGAGGGCUGGUUGGUCCUCGGCACUGCGGGGGCCCGGCCCAACAAUGCACUUCACACUGAGAGAGGCAAUGAGAAAAGUCGAAAAGAAGUAGGAAUGAGAGUGAAGAAUGGAGAUGGCAUACUUAACUCUACCCUGGUAGUCACUAAGGGUGUGCGUGGCUAUUGUUCUCCCAGUCUACAGGCUGCCGGUGCCACACCUCGUCAUGCCAAGUGAGCCUAGAGGCUCUCAGAUCGAGAACUCAAAUAUACCACUUUUUUGAAACGAAAAACCUUUCCUUGAAGCUUUCAGUGUGGAUAAAGGGAUUAAUCAAUGAAGUUAAAGAUAAGGUGCCUCUAUAUAUUGUUUUAAUCGGACAAUCCGCAAACUUUCAACCUCGAAAAAGCAGCGCACAAAAUCCCCCCCCCGUACUUUAUCUAUUCCUUAAAACAUGAUAUUUGUUGCAUUUUCCUGUUUAUUCUUCAUGCCUUCAAUGUGUAAAACACUAAAGCAAACACUAACCGUUUACAUACGGCUGGCCACAUAACAAAGAACAACUAACUCUCUACCAGCAAUAAAGCAUAAAGGCUAGAAUGCCAUAUAAA
Molecule: long non-coding RNA, 1214 nt
Organism: Gasterosteus aculeatus aculeatus (three-spined stickleback)
Lineage: Eukaryota; Metazoa; Chordata; Actinopteri; Perciformes; Gasterosteidae
Source: Ensembl